This 435-nucleotide ribosomal RNA is filed under the name uncultured bacterium. RNAcentral describes it as "bacterial SSU rRNA". It matches the Rfam family "Bacterial small subunit ribosomal RNA", at positions 958 to 1392 of the family's 1533-position model. The record is from RNAcentral.
AACGCGAAGAACCUUACCUACUCUUGACAUCCACAGAACUUUCCAGAGAUGGAUUGGUGCCUUCGGGAACUGUGAGACAGGUGCUGCAUGGCUGUCGUCAGCUCGUGUUGUGAAAUGUUGGGUUAAGUCCCGCAACGAGCGCAACCCCUAUCCUUAUUUGCCAGCACUUAAUGGUGGGAACUCUAGGGAGACUGCCGGUGAUAAACCGGAGGAAGGUGGGGAAGACGUCAAGUCAUCAUGGCCCUUACGAGUAGGGCUACACACGUGCUACAAUGGCGAGUACAAAGGGUUGCAAAGCCGGGAGGUGGAGCUAAUCUCACAAAGCUCGUCGUAGUCCGGAUUGGAGUCUGCAACUCGACUCCAUGAAGUCGGAAUCGCUAGUAAUCGUGAAUCAGAAUGCCACGGUAAAUACGUUCCCGGGUCUUGUACACACCG